This 125-nucleotide small RNA is filed under the name Martinezella paranaensis. RNAcentral's name for it is "Rhizobium paranaense ar14". It matches the Rfam family "Alphaproteobacterial ar14". Rfam says of the family: Smr14C2 was renamed NfeR1 (Nodule Formation Efficiency RNA) highly expressed in salt stress and during the symbiotic interaction on legume roots. The record is from RNAcentral. Lineage: Bacteria; Pseudomonadati; Pseudomonadota; Alphaproteobacteria; Hyphomicrobiales; Rhizobiaceae.
CGAAAUGCAGAUGACCUACUCCUCCUCCCAAGGGCGUCUGCGGGAACAGUAGCACUCCUCCUCCCAGCUACUGUUCGGUUCUUUACGAAAGCCUGCCGCACCUCCUCCCGCGGCAGGCUUUUUCG